Molecule: long non-coding RNA, 1400 nt
Filed under: Olea europaea subsp. europaea
Lineage: Eukaryota; Viridiplantae; Streptophyta; Magnoliopsida; Lamiales; Oleaceae
Source: RNAcentral
UUCACGUUGAUUUUUCGAUCCACUCCAGUAAUUUCGUAGCUCUGACGACAUUAGCUGCGGUCAGGUCUGCCAACAAUGCGAAAGAAAUACACAAUUUGUCAUAUAUCAACUGUCAUGGAGUACUAACCAAUCCAUCGUGGUUCACAACAACCCUCGUGUGGGCUCUACUCACAUAUCUUCGCCAUCUGCGUAGGAUAUACUUGUCAGCAAUACUUUGACAUCGUGACGGAUUAACACUGUGAUUGCAUGCUUACAUAGUAUUCCUCAAAACUUGAAUAAGUGGCAACUGUAAGUAAUUUCAUACUUUUCUGCCUGAAAAGAGACAAAAGAACGUCUUUUUCUUCGAACGUGAUUCGUAGAUGACAUCCUUUCGUAUCUCACACCUUGUUCCCAAACAUCCCACACAAGUAGAUACGAGAUCGCAAUACGUCUUUCCAGUGAACUCCUCCUAAACUUCUCUAAAUUUAUAAAUGGUGUAAACUGCUUGAAAUUGCUUCUCCAUUUUAUACCGUGUUGCAUAUGGUACCAUUCGCAAGUAAGACUUGAAAUAUGCUUAAAACUUCUUCUUGACUUUAUUUCUCAAUACUCUUUCAUACUGUUCAACAAAUUGCUUUAAUGAUGUCUUCGAAUGCACAUAUUCAUCAAAAAAUGCAUUCAUAUUCUCACUUUGUUGGGUUGUUAACAUCCCUACCCAGAAUGUGGUUUUAAAAUAACAAGGAACCCAACGACAUCUAUUCUUUUAUAGUCCCGCUAACCAAUCAUUAUCAUGCAACGCAUACAUAUCGAUCAUAGCCCUCCACCCAUCUUCGAACUGUUCAAUAAAUUGAGAAUCAUAAACAAAUUCGUGUAUAGACUGAAAUAUAGAAACCUUGUCCACAUGGUACCCAAACACUUCCGGUAACUUUUUUAAUAUAUGCCACAAACACCAUCCGUGUUUCGAAUUUGGAAACACGAUCUCAAUUGCAUUUUGCAUGGCCCUGUCCUGAUUUGUAAUUAUCUUAUGAGGAGCUUGGUCGUGCAUGCAUUGUAACAAUGUCUUAAACAGCCAUACAAAUGUAUCUGUAUCCUCUUUCGACACAAAACCACAUCCAAGUAGUGUGGAUUGUCCAUUAUGAUUCACCCCAACAAAAGGGGCAAAAUGCAUGUCGUACAACGUCAUCGAACUCUUUAUAUGCUUGUCACUCCUAUUAUUUGCCCAAAAAACAUUCUUCAACCUCGACUCAUCGUCCAAAUCCAUACUAAAAUAACACCCCGAGCAACUUGUUUACAUUUUCGAAAAGUAAGAUUGUAUUGCUGCGGUGUCUCCCUCUCCAAGCCUUAAGUGCCGAACUUGUUCAACAUAAUUUUAACAAUCUUUUUUUUCACGCAAGUCAUAUCUUCCUAUCCACAUGUUUCGACUG